RNAcentral lists this ribosomal RNA (464 nucleotides) under Vreelandella stevensii. Its description in RNAcentral is "partial 16S ribosomal RNA". It matches the Rfam family "Bacterial small subunit ribosomal RNA", at positions 338 to 795 of the family's 1533-position model. The record is from RNAcentral. Lineage: Bacteria; Pseudomonadati; Pseudomonadota; Gammaproteobacteria; Oceanospirillales; Halomonadaceae.
CCUACGGGUGGCAGCAGUGGGGAAUAUUGGACAAUGGGGGCAACCCUGAUCCAGCCAUGCCGCGUGUGUGAAGAAGGCCCUCGGGUUGUAAAGCACUUUCAGUGAGGAAGAACGCCUGGUGGUUAAUACCCAUCAGGAAAGACAUCACUCACAGAAGAAGCACCGGCUAACUCCGUGCCAGCAGCCGCGGUAAUACGGAGGGUGCGAGCGUUAAUCGGAAUUACUGGGCGUAAAGCGCGCGUAGGUGGCUUGAUAAGCCGGUUGUGAAAGCCCCGGGCUCAACCUGGGAACGGCAUCCGGAACUGUCAAGGUAGAGUGCAGGAGAGGAAGGUAGAAUUCCCGGUGUAGCGGUGAAAUGCGUAGAGAUCGGGAGGAAUACCAGUGGCGAAGGCGGCCUUCUGGACUGACACUGACACUGAGGUGCGAAAGCGUGGGUAGCAAACAGGAUUAGAUACCCGAUAGUC